This 490-nucleotide ribosomal RNA is filed under the name uncultured bacterium. RNAcentral's name for it is "partial 16S ribosomal RNA". It matches the Rfam family "Bacterial small subunit ribosomal RNA", at positions 28 to 507 of the family's 1533-position model. The record is from RNAcentral.
GAUGAACGCUAGCGAUAGGCUUAAUACAUGCAAGUCGAGGGGCAGCAUGGUCUUAGCUUGCUAAGACUGAUGGCGACCGGCGCACGGGUGCGUAACGCGUAUGCAACUUGCCUCACAGAGGGGGAUAACCCGUCGAAAGACGGACUAAUACCGCGUACACUUGGGAUAGGGCAUCCUGACCCAAGGAAAUGAAAUUCGCUGUGAGAUAGGCAUGCGUCCCAUUAGCUAGUUGGUGAGGUAACGGCUCACCAAGGCGACGAUGGGUAGGGGAACUGAGAGGUUGAACCCCCACACUGGUACUGAGACACGGACCAGACUCCUACGGGAGGCAGCAGUGAGGAAUAGUGAUCAAUGGGCGAGAGCCUGAACCAGCCAAGUCGCGUGAAGGAUGACUGUCUUAUGGAUUGUAAACUUCUUUUAGACGGGAAUAACAAGAGCCACGUGUGGCUCCCUGCAUGUACCGGAUGAAUAAGCAUCGGCUAACUCCGUG